RNAcentral lists this ribosomal RNA (374 nucleotides) under uncultured soil bacterium. Its description in RNAcentral is "bacterial SSU rRNA". It matches the Rfam family "Bacterial small subunit ribosomal RNA", at positions 26 to 422 of the family's 1533-position model. The record is from RNAcentral.
AGAACGAACGCUGGCGGCAUGCCUAAUACAUGCAAGUCGAACGAGAUCUUCGGGUCUAGUGGCGCACGGGUGCGUAACGCGUGGGAAUCUACCCCUUGGGUUCGGAAUAACAGUUGGAAACGACUGCUAAUACCGGAUGAUGACGAAAGUCCAAAGAUUUAUCGCCCAAGGAUGAGCCCGCGUAGGAUUAGCUAGUUGGUGAGGUAAAGGCUCACCAAGGCUACGAUCCUUAGCUGGUCUGAGAGGAUGAUCAGCCACACUGGGACUGAGACACGGCCCAGACUCCUACGGGAGGCAGCAGUAGGGAAUAUUGGACAAUGGGGGCAACCCUGAUCCAGCAAUGCCGCGUAGAGUGAUAGGAAGGUCCGUUAGGG